CCACCGUAGCCUUCCAUUCCCCUAUUCCCGCUAUCGGCUCCCCAUCCCACUGUUUCCUAGUCCGUCCAUCGACCCACGACUUCCCUUAACCCCAUCACCUUGGUCCGCCAUAUCCUCCACUGCGAGCCCCCCCGUAAACCCAACCUCCACCCACCACCUCCCCUUCACUUACCCUUUCCUCGUCUGACGUCCAAGAGCCAUCUAUACACACGCAGCUCCCUGCUAAUUUAUUUAUUUAGUUCAUAUAUCCUGUGUCGUCAUUGUGUGUUUAGAAGGUGGUAAUACUAAUAAUAAAGAAUAUGGACAACGAAAUCACAUUAUUACUAUUAGUUUAAUUAGUUUUGACAAUUUGAUCUUUGUUUGUGUUUACUAUUGUUUGUUUACUUAUUUUAUGAUCCUGAACUGCCAAUUCAAGUACUCCUCUUUAUGAAACUUUGGAUGUAUUCUCUAUUUUGUAUAUCAACUGCUCCUUGUGUGGUUCAAACACCAGGUGCUGGUGCAGUCCAUGGAAUCUGGGAAAAGUUUAUGGAGCUUGUGGAGACUAGGAGCUUUUUCUUUAAUCUAGACUAGGACCUAAAAAUUUGUAAGAUAUGAAUCGAAUGUUGAUAGGAACACAUUCAUGUUUUUCGUUUUUCUCUUAGAAUGCUUAAAAAAAAAAGGGCUUCCACUUGAUGGUGGUUAUGUAUUUGUAGGGGGACAGCAAUAGGCCUCAAGUCACUAAGGAGAAGGUUCUUCUUGGAGAUCUUAGUAUUGAUUCCACAUGUGAGGAAACAUUGGGUGCUGAACCAGCUGAUGAAGUUCCCAAUUUGAGCAGUGUUUCAUGGACAAAUCCUGUCUUGGAAAUGCGGGUUUAGUUUAGAAAGCCGCUCUUCACAUUUCCAAGAAAGAGAUUGUCAUUCUGAAAUAUCCAAUUUAUCUUCUUGAAGGGAAAUAGUGCUUGAAUCAGCAUGUGACAGGGAUCCCCUUUUGCUCGACAAGAUUAUAUCCCAAGAUCUUCGUCUAGUCUUCAGCAGAAUAUUUGGGUGUGAAACAUCAGUUAUGGACAAGGAAUGGCUGAAUCGCCAUAUUUUAUUUGGUUUGCGGAGCCGCAGUGAAUUAGUAGAUGGUCUGAACUUGUUGGAAUUUGGUGGAACUUCCAAGAUUUAUGGAGAAAAAGCUGUAUUUUUACUGUAUAAAACAUUGUCUGGAAGUGCUCCUCACUUGACAGAUAUUUUGGACAACCAACUCAAGAAAAGAAUGUGAAAAGGCAACGGCUUUCUGGUUGCAACUCUUUGAAGAGUGUGUCUUCUCCAGUUAGAAGGGUUGGAUUUGUUCUGCUUCUGCAGAUGAAAGUAAUACUGCUGAUGCACUUGUUACACAAAAGCAAACGCACAGGCCUACUAGGAUAUGCACCAAAGGACUGCAACAGCAAAACUUAAGAGAUCACCAUAGAAAAUAUGGGGUAUCCUAUAAGAAUGCAAGAGACUAGUUCCUGCAUGUUAAAACAAACAAGCAACAUCGGCAAAAGAGACUAGGAACUACACACAUUGAUUUGUCCAAAAGAAUCUCCUAAAGGAUCUUGUAUUCAGGUUCCAUUCAGUUUUCCAGUCCAGAUAGGGAAAUCAACAAAAAAAAUACUUGUUUGGUAAGUAACACUGAUAAAUGGGGUUGCUUGAAAUUUGUUUGUUCAAUUAAGCAUGACCUGUGAAUCAUGUUGUUUCUUGCAUUGUCAGGGUAUGAUCUUGUGCUUUCCUAAUAGGUCAUCAUUCUUUUCCUUCUUGAAUCUAUCCUGCCUUUAUGCAAGUUUGCAGUUUAAAUUUUUUGCA
Hevea brasiliensis (rubber tree) is the source of this 1805-nucleotide long non-coding RNA. RefSeq lists it as uncharacterized. The transcript has 2 exons. The record is from RefSeq and is a predicted model, not a curated record. NCBI's taxonomy places the organism in Eukaryota, Viridiplantae, Streptophyta, Magnoliopsida, Malpighiales, Euphorbiaceae.